UGAGGAAUAUUGGACAAUGGGCGCAAGCCUGAUCCAGCCAUGCCGCGUGCAGGAAGAAGCAUCUAUGGUGUGUAAACUGCUUUUGUACGGGAAGAAACACUCCUACGUGUAGGAGCUUGACGGUACCGUAAGAAUAAGGAUCGGCUAACUCCGUGCCAGCAGCCGCGGUAAUACGGAGGAUCCAAGCGUUAUCCGGAAUCAUUGGGUUUAAAGGGUCCGUAGGCGGUUUAAUAAGUCCGUGGUGAAAGCCCAACGCUCAACGAUGGAACGGCCAUUGAUACUGCUAGACUUGAAGUACACAGAAGUAACUAGAAUACGUAGUGUAGCGGUGAAAUGCUUAGAUAUCACAUGGAACACCAGUUGCGAAGGCGAGUCACUACGUGUGGAUUGACGCUGAUGCACGAAAGCGAGGGGAGCAAACG
Molecule: ribosomal RNA, 422 nt
Filed under: uncultured bacterium
Lineage: Bacteria
Description: bacterial SSU rRNA
Rfam family: Bacterial small subunit ribosomal RNA
Source: RNAcentral